Molecule: ribosomal RNA, 356 nt
Filed under: uncultured bacterium
Lineage: Bacteria
Description: bacterial SSU rRNA
Rfam family: Bacterial small subunit ribosomal RNA
Source: RNAcentral
AACGAACGCUGGCGGCAGGCCUAACACAUGCAAGUCGAACGCUGUAGCAAUACAGAGUGGCAGACGGGUGAGUAACGCGUGGGAACCUUCCCAGUUGUGCGGAAUAGCUCAGGGAAACUUGGGGUAAUACCGCAUAAGCCCUUAGGGGGAAAGAUUUAUCGCCAUUGGAUGGGCCCGCGUCGGAUUAGCUAGUUGGUGAGGUAAUGGCUCACCAAGGCGACGAUCCGUAGCUGGUCUGAGAGGAUGAUCAGCCACACUGGGACUGAGACACGGCCCAGACUCCUACGGGAGGCAGCAGUGGGGAAUAUUGGACAAUGGGCGAAAGCCUGAUCCAGCCAUGCCGCGUGAGUGAAGAA